Non-coding RNA from Paramuricea clavata, 263 nucleotides. The record is from the annotation of a GenBank genome assembly. NCBI's taxonomy places the organism in Eukaryota, Metazoa, Cnidaria, Anthozoa, Malacalcyonacea, Plexauridae.
GACCGCGUAGCUCAGUUGGCAGAGCAUUGGGCUAGUAUUCCGUAGGUUCGCUUCCCACCAUGGCCAGGCAUAUUUUUCUAGGUUGCCCGGUGUGGAUAUACACUCAGCGCAACAUCACAAGUAUCAUAUUCACCUGAGUACAUUACACCAACACAAAAAAAGUCAUCCAGAAUAUAUGUUUUUCAUAAUUUUUUCUGUGUUGGUACCUACAUUGGGCUAGUAUUCCAAAGGUUGUAGGUUUAGUUUGAUUCCCACCGUGGCCA